GGAUGGGUUGGCAGUCAUUCAACAAGCAAACAAUAGCCAUGAGGCCUAAAGGCACUCAACCAAUAAUGCAUGCUGCAUCCACGAGCACUCAAGGCACCAAUGGUCUCUUACUUUGGAAGAUGGGCGAAAAUCCGUGCAAUCAUCCAAAAGGCCAUAGGAGCAACCAUGCACCCACUCCUAUACCGCACAAAACGGAGGGAGGGGGGGAGAGAGUAUAGCACCGAGUCAUAUUUCUCUUUUGAAAGACUAGUAAAUAGCACAGGCAAAUUUUGUGGCGCCAACAGCAACAAUGGACCAUAUAAUGAAGAAUUGCACUAAUUUCGGUUGGGUGCACAAGGCACAGAGCCCGCCAUUAUAUGCAACUAUUAAACAACAACUUNUGUGCCGACGCGGUGGUUCCAUGUUCAUUGCCUUAUCGCCCGCAUGCGUGCCCGUC
Molecule: unclassified non-coding RNA, 436 nt
Filed under: Costus vinosus
Lineage: Eukaryota; Viridiplantae; Streptophyta; Magnoliopsida; Zingiberales; Costaceae
Description: partial external transcribed spacer
Source: RNAcentral